Molecule: ribosomal RNA, 445 nt
Filed under: uncultured bacterium
Lineage: Bacteria
Description: bacterial SSU rRNA
Rfam family: Bacterial small subunit ribosomal RNA
Source: RNAcentral
AACGAACGCUGGCGGCAUGCCUAACACAUGCAAGUCGAACGAGACCUUCGGGUCUAGUGGCGCACGGGUGCGUAACGCGUGGGAAUCUGCCCUUGGGUUCGGAAUAACAGCGAGAAAUUGCUGCUAAUACCGGAUGAUGACGUAAGUCCAAAGAUUUAUCGCCCAAGGAUGAGCCCGCGUAGGAUUAGCUAGUUGGUGAGGUAAAGGCUCACCAAGGCGACGAUCCUUAGCUGGUCUGAGAGGAUGAUCAGCCACACUGGGACUGAGACACGGCCCAGACUCCUACGGGAGGCAGCAGUGGGGAAUAUUGGACAAUGGGCGAAAGCCUGAUCCAGCAAUGCCGCGUGAGUGAUGAAGGCCUUAGGGUUGUAAAGCUCUUUUACCCGGGAUGAUAAUGACAGUACCGGGAGAAUAAGCUCCGGCUAACUCCGUGCCAGCAGCCGCG